GAUGAACGCUGGCGGCGUGCCUAAUACAUGCAAGUCGAGCGAACGCACGAUAAGCUUGUGUCUUUGAUGUUAGCGGCGGACGGGUGAGUGACACAUGCAUAAGCUACUUAUUUUUCUUGGGGAAUUUCGGGAAACCGCAUCCAAUACUGGAUAAUAUUUUGUACCGCAGGGUUCAAAAGUGAAAGACGGUCUUGCUGUCUCUUAUAGAUGGAUCCGCGUUGCAUUAGCGAGUUGGUAAGGUAACGGCUUACCAAGGCAACGAUGCAUAGCCGAUCUGAGAGGAUGAUCGGCCACACUGGAACUGAGACACGGUCCAGACUCCUACGGGAGGCAGCAGUAGGGAAUCUUCCGCAAUGGGCGAAAGCCUGACGGAGCAACACCGCGUGAGUGAUGAAGGUCUUCGGAUCGUAAAGCUCUUUUAUUAGGGAAGAACAGAUGUGUAAGUAACUGUGGCCAUCUUGACGGUACCUAAACAGAAAGCACCGGCUAACUACGUG
This 497-nucleotide ribosomal RNA is filed under the name uncultured bacterium. Its description in RNAcentral is "partial 16S ribosomal RNA". It matches the Rfam family "Bacterial small subunit ribosomal RNA", at positions 28 to 507 of the family's 1533-position model. The record is from RNAcentral.